Oncorhynchus tshawytscha (Chinook salmon) is the source of this 2391-nucleotide long non-coding RNA. Lineage: Eukaryota; Metazoa; Chordata; Actinopteri; Salmoniformes; Salmonidae. The record is from Ensembl.
CUGGCGCCGCGCCAGGGAGGAGGAGUGGGAGCAGGCGUGACAGGAUGAAGGUCUACGUAUUCAAACUACGUCACACCAUGAGAAAGUAAAAAGAAACAGCGAUGUUGUAGCGGUUUAUCGACACCACUGCAUUUUUGGGCAUGCAACAAUUGGCUUUUAGAGGACACGAUGAGAGGGAAAGUUCCGCUAACAAGGGCAACUACAAUGAGAUUGCGGAGCAACUGGGUUCUACAGUUUGACCCCACUGCUGUCCCUGGCUCCACACACAUCCUGCCCGGCCAUCUAGAUGUUUGAAGGUAGGUGUCUUUUCUGUAGGGAAGCUAAUGAUCCAUCAUGUAUGACAUUCCUGGGAGCUUGUAAACAUAAAUGUUUUUAUUACCAUAUCAUUUUUGUAUGUUCUCUAUAGUUAUGUACUUGAACAUUUUUAAUUUGACCAAUUCAGAACAUUUGGGCAAACUCCUGGCAGAUGUAAUUCUUCACUGGAUCAGUCUGAACCUUUGCACACAUACUGCUGCCAUCUUGUGGACAACAUCUAAAUUCACACCCAUAAUCCUAUAUCAAUGGAUGGCCUUUCUCUUGCAUUUCCAAAUGAUUGUAUUAUCUUUUUCCAGAUCUAAUGUGUUAUAUUUUCCUACAUUAAUUUCAAAUUUCCACAGACUUCCAUAAACUUCAAAGUGUUUCCUUUCAAAUGGUAUCAAGAAUAUGCAUAUCCUUGGUUCAGGUUCUGGAGAUACAGGCAGUUAGAUUUGGGUAUGUCAUUUAGGCAGAAAUUGGAAAAAAGGGUCUGAUCCUUAUUAAGAGAUGAUGACCACUCAGCUACUGUUGUCAUCUCUCUCCGGACAUGAACUGAAGCCACAUUUCAUUUGCCCGGUCAUUCACUAGCAAAUUGAAUGUUUCCUGUCCAAGCACUGUGAGUACACUUAUACAUUUUCUCUCAUUACUGUAUGUAGAGUCAAUCACACAUACAAACAUAAUCAUAUUAUUACACAUCAAUGAUUUUAAUCCUUGCCUGAACUAACUCAUUUUUAGCUCUUUUGUCUAACUGUGUUGUGUUAUUGUUUUUUGUCCUCCCAGUUAAAUCCUGUCCUGCCCUCAGUGGAAGAGUUGAGCUCUCUCCAAACACCAUCCAUCCAUCCAUGAUGAGCCUGUCCUGCACUAAAGUCUAUGAACACCUCAACCCCCGUCCUUCACUGAAGUCGAACCUCUGAACACCUCAACUCAUGCCUCAUACCCUCAUUCAAUCACUGCUGUGAUCCCUUCCCAACACUGGUGAUUAUCAACUUGGCAUGGCACCUUCCAUUGUUGGGAGAAAGAGCAGAGCAGGCCCUAGGGUCAGGAGGAGGAAAACCUUUCAAAAAAUGGCAUGCCCUUCUAAAACUGGUUAUAAUUACAGCUCUGUUUAUGAUAUUAAGAUUCUAACAAUGGCAGUCUGUUAUAUAGACUCAUUUAGGAAAAGUCAAGGAGGGGAGGCAUGACUUUAUAAUUGGCAGAGAAGGAGGACCAGAAGGAGCCGCUGCUCAGUGCAACGCAGCCUCCAUCCUCAUGGAUGAAGACCGCAUGGAGCUGGUGUAGCUAACCAUGGCAGCAGUGGCCCUGCCCUCUCUGGCCAUCCUGACCGGGGCUCAGGAGAUCUCAGACGACUAGUGGAAGGACAUGGUCCAGAAGAUGCUCCAGACUCGCCAAAGCUCAGAAGGCCUGACUAUGGAGCGCAAAUUAGACUGAAUUGCCUCCUUUCCCACAGUGUCUUUAACUGUGCCCUGCAUUUCACCAUCACACUUACCCCAGGGGAGUCUGAGCUGAGGUCCUCUGAACAGUCCUAGGUGUCUCAAUUCUCAAGAUAUGAGAGAAAUUGUGCAAACCCCUUUAUGUCCAAUUCAUAUUAUAUUAGGAUAUAUCUCCUAAAUAUUUGUGUUUGAAAGGAGCCUCUGGGUACUCACUGAUCCUAACCUAGAGGGCGGCAGGUAGCUUAGUGGUUAAGCACAUCGGGCCAAUGACUGAAAGAUUGCUGGUUUGAAUCCCCAAGCCAACUAGGUGAAACAUCUGCCUGUGCCCUUGAGCAUGCCACUUAACCUUAAUUGUUCCAGUACAUUUCUCUGGAUAAGAGUGUCUGUAAAAUAUGUAUCUUUUUUUCAUGAGCAGUCAAAAAUACUGACUGAGCAGUUCUAGUGUUAAAUGGCUGUGGGCUAGCAGACUGGUUCAUACUGUGUACAUUACUGUUCAUACUGUGUUGUCAUUGAAUUAAAAUUAUUUUAAUGGUUGUCCCUAACGACCUGAUUCAUACUGUAGUUUGUAGCCUACAUUUCUGUACCAUGCAUAUUAUUGUCUGUUUAGCAUUGCUGAAGCCAACUAGCCAAGUCCAUAGAUUAUAGGCACUCAAUAAAUAGAUAUGAA